GAUAGCCAUAACAACAUCUAGACUAAAUGCAGUCACAUACAACAUUGUGGCACUACACAAAGAAUAAAACUGAACAGAUGAGAAAAGGUUAUCCAAUGCAUAAGCCAUUCAUGAAAAAUGUAAAAUUCUAUUUCUUAAUCCACACUUCUCCUAAACAGUUUAGAAAUAUUUCCAAAAUGAGACUUAUGGAGCAGCAAACUCCAUGUUUUAUAUCAUAAAAGCAUUAAAAAAACAAAACAAAAUCACACUGCCUUCUGGAUCAUAUUUUAAGCAAUAAUAUAAAUGGUUAUAUCACAUUAAAAACUAGUAUAUGUUUUAAACCCUGGGUAGGGACCCUAUGAUAUUUCAGAUGGUCCUCGUUAUUUGGAAGAGUUAUAAAAAUCCCCCAUGAUAAACUUGAGAAGAGUGGUUUUGUUCGGUAAUAUUCUUGUAGAUUCUAAACAAGGAAUGCCAAGGUAAUGCCAUCUAUGUGAAUAGGCAGUCAGUGGCUUAGCAUAACUGCAGUUCUUGUCUGUUGUCUUUUAGAUAAGCCAACUAAUUUGUAAGAUGAUUUGUUGCUCCUGCUUGUCAG
Pelobates cultripes (western spadefoot toad) is the source of this 571-nucleotide non-coding RNA. The record is from the annotation of a GenBank genome assembly. Lineage: Eukaryota; Metazoa; Chordata; Amphibia; Anura; Pelobatidae.